CAAGCUCCUCGUGCCUGGCAUGCCCGCCUUGCCUCUGCCCUUCGUGCUCAUGGGUUUGUGCCGUCCACUGCUGACACUUCAUUAUUUCUUCUACAGAAGCCAGAAGUCACUAUGUACCUUUUGGUAUAUGUCGAUGAUAUUAUCCUUGUCAGCUCUUCUCAGUAUGCUGCUAAUGCUCUUGUCUGCUCUCUUGGUGCUGAUUUUGCGGUCAAAGAUCUUGGGAAGCUUCACUACUUUCUUGGAGUUGAGGUCACUUCUCGUGCUACUGGUCUUGUCCUUACGCAGAAGAAGUACUCCUUGGAGUUGUUACAAAGAGCUGGCAUGCUGAAGUGCAAACCGACCACCACACCCAUGUCGUCUACCGACAAGAUAACAGCUGUUGAUGGUGAGCUUUUGUCUCCUGCGGAUGCCACAGAGUACAGGAGCAUUGUUGGUGGACUUCAGUACUUGACGAUCACGAGACCAGAUAUCUCUUAUGCUGUUAACAGGGUUUGUCAGUAUCUUCAGGCUCCCAGAGAUACUCAUUGGGCUGCUGUUAAACGCAUUCUUCGUUAUGUUCAGUUCACCCUGACAUUUGGUAUGCAUAUUCGGCCGACUUCCUCUCGGGUCCUUUCGGCCUUCUCUGAUGCAGAUUGGGCUGGUAGCCCAGAUGACAGGCGAUCCACG
Molecule: ribosomal RNA, 666 nt
Filed under: Triticum aestivum (bread wheat)
Lineage: Eukaryota; Viridiplantae; Streptophyta; Magnoliopsida; Poales; Poaceae
Description: partial small subunit ribosomal RNA
Source: RNAcentral